This 1378-nucleotide ribosomal RNA is filed under the name Leucobacter luti. RNAcentral describes it as "bacterial SSU rRNA". It matches the Rfam family "Bacterial small subunit ribosomal RNA". The record is from RNAcentral. Lineage: Bacteria; Bacillati; Actinomycetota; Actinomycetes; Micrococcales; Microbacteriaceae.
GGUGGAAGAGUGGCGAACGGGUGAGUAACACGUGAGCAACCUGCCCUUCACUCUGGGAUAAGCACUGGAAACGGUGUCUAAUACUGGAUAUGUCCCAUCACCGCAUGGUGUGUGGGUGGAAAGAUUUAUCGGUGAAGGAUGGGCUCGCGGCCUAUCAGCUUGUUGGUGAGGUAGUGGCUCACCAAGGCGACGACGGGUAGCCGGCCUGAGAGGGUGACCGGCCACACUGGGACUGAGACACGGCCCAGACUCCUACGGGAGGCAGCAGUGGGGAAUAUUGCACAAUGGGCGCAAGCCUGAUGCAGCAACGCCGCGUGAGGGAUGACGGCCUUCGGGUUGUAAACCUCUUUUAGUAGGGAAGAAGCGCAAGUGACGGUACCUGCAGAAAAAGCACCGGCUAACUACGUGCCAGCAGCCGCGGUAAUACGUAGGGUGCAAGCGUUGUCCGGAAUUAUUGGGCGUAAAGAGCUCGUAGGCGGCUUGUCGCGUCUGCUGUGAAAACCCGAGGCUCAACCUCGGGCCUGCAGUGGGUACGGGCAGGCUAGAGUGCGGUAGGGGAGAUUGGAAUUCCUGGUGUAGCGGUGGAAUGCGCAGAUAUCAGGAGGAACACCGAUGGCGAAGGCAGAUCUCUGGGCCGUAACUGACGCUGAGGAGCGAAAGCAUGGGGAGCGAACAGGAUUAGAUACCCUGGUAGUCCAUGCCGUAAACGUUGGGAACUAGAUGUAGGGCCUGUUCCACGGGUUCUGUGUCGUAGCUAACGCAUUAAGUUCCCCGCCUGGGGAGUACGGCCGCAAGGCUAAAACUCAAAGGAAUUGACGGGGGCCCGCACAAGCGGCGGAGCAUGCGGAUUAAUUCGAUGCAACGCGAAGAACCUUACCAAGGCUUGACAUAUACGAGAACGGGCGAGAGAUCGUCAACUCUUUGGACACUCGUAAACAGGUGGUGCAUGGUUGUCGUCAGCUCGUGUCGUGAGAUGUUCGGUUAAGUCCGGCAACGAGCGCAACCCUCGUCCUAUGUUGCCAGCACGUUAUGGUGGGAACUCAUGGGAUACUGCCGUGGUCAACACGGAGGAAGGUGGGGAUGACGUCAAAUCAUCAUGCCCCUUAUGUCUUGGGCUUCACGCAUGCUACAAUGGCCGAUACAAAGGGCUGCGAUACCGCGAGGUGGAGCGAAUCCCAAAAAGUCGGUCUCAGUUCGGAUUGGGGUCUGCAACUCGACCCCAUGAAGUCGGAGUCGCUAGUAAUCGCAGAUCAGCAACGCUGCGGUGAAUACGUUCCCGGGCCUUGUACACACCGCCCGUCAAGUCAUGAAAGUCGGUAACACCCGAAGCCGGUGGCCUAACCCUUGUGGAGGGAGCCGUCGAAGGUGGGACUGGUGA